This is a non-coding RNA of Rhamnusium bicolor, 77 nucleotides long. NCBI's taxonomy places the organism in Eukaryota, Metazoa, Arthropoda, Insecta, Coleoptera, Cerambycidae. The record is from the annotation of a GenBank genome assembly.
GGCAUCGUGGCUUUGUGGUAGAGCGAUAAGGACACUUGAUCCUGGUGUUCUGGGUUCGAUCCCCAGCCGAGAAGCUA